AUUGUUUUGUUACAUACUUUUAAAAAUAAAUUUGUAUGGUGUGAAAAUCUUAUCAAACAUGUUGAAAUGGAGGUGAAAAAGGGGCUUGCUCCGUUCACUCCACGCAUCGACCCGGUACUGCAGUGCCGCCGGGAACGGUGCACCCUCC
Molecule: small nuclear RNA, 148 nt
Filed under: Dicentrarchus labrax (European seabass)
Lineage: Eukaryota; Metazoa; Chordata; Actinopteri; Moronidae
Description: U2 spliceosomal RNA (ENSDLAG00005021529.2)
Rfam family: U2 spliceosomal RNA
About the family: U2 is a small nuclear RNA (snRNA) component of the spliceosome (involved in pre-mRNA splicing).
Source: Rfam by way of RNAcentral